AGAGUUUGAUCAUGGCUCAGGAUAAACGCUGGCGGCGUGCCUAACACAUGCAAGUCGUACGUCCUGUCUGGUUUCGGCCAGGCAGGGAGUGGCGGACGGGUGAGUAACACAUGGGUGACCUACCCUUUGGUGAGGAAUACCGGCGAGAAAUCGCCGACAAGACCGCAUACGCUCUCGCAGGAGAGCAAAGCCUCUGACUCGCAAGAGCCGGAGGUGCCAGAGGAUGGGCCUGUGGCCGAUUAGCUAGUUGGUGGGGUAAGGGCUCACCAAGGCGACGAUCGGUAGCUGGUCUGAGAGGACGAUCAGCCACACUGGGAUUGAGAACGGCCCAGACUCCUACGGGGGGCAGCAGUGAGGAAUUUUCCACAAUGGGGGCAACCCUGAUGGAGCGACGCCGCGUGCAGGAGGAAGGUCUUCGGAUCGUAAACUGCUUUUCCCAGGGAAGAGAAGGGACGGUACCUGGGGAACAAGCCCCGGCUAACUACGUGCCAGCAGCCGCGGUAAUACGUAGGGGGCGAGUGUUGUCCGGAGUUACUGGGCGUAAAGCGCCCGCAGGCGGUGCUGCGCGUUUGCACGGACAGCUCCCAGCUUAACUGGGAAAGGUGUGCAAAGACGGCAGGACUUCGAGGGCCAGAGAGGGACAUGGAACUCCAGGUGUAGUGGUGAAAUGCGUAGAUAUCUGGAAGAACACCAAAGGCGAAGGCAGUGUCCUGGCUGGUACCUGACGCUCGGGGGCGAAAGCUAGGGGAGCGAACGGGAUUAGAUACCCCAGUAGUCC
RNAcentral lists this ribosomal RNA (778 nucleotides) under uncultured bacterium. RNAcentral's name for it is "bacterial SSU rRNA". It matches the Rfam family "Bacterial small subunit ribosomal RNA", at positions 8 to 796 of the family's 1533-position model. The record is from RNAcentral.